RNAcentral lists this long non-coding RNA (209 nucleotides) under Lathyrus oleraceus (garden pea). Its description in RNAcentral is "Pisum sativum (pea) long non-coding RNA (PSAT_LNC036232)". The record is from RNAcentral. Lineage: Eukaryota; Viridiplantae; Streptophyta; Magnoliopsida; Fabales; Fabaceae.
ACAAAUUAAGCAAUUCAAGAAAUAAUCAUCAUUGAAAUCAUGAAGUUUUAAAGGAAAAGAAAAGAAACGAUUAAGAUUAACUCAUAAACCCUAAUUUCUAAUCUAAUUCUAGUCUAAUCCUAAUUAAGAAUGUCAAUCCUAAAUUAAUUAAGACUAAAUUUCAUUCAUAACCAUGGUGUCAUUUUGAUAUUAAAAAAAAUAAUAAAAAG